RNAcentral lists this ribosomal RNA (308 nucleotides) under Paenibacillus polymyxa. Its description in RNAcentral is "bacterial LSU rRNA". It matches the Rfam family "Bacterial large subunit ribosomal RNA", at positions 1652 to 1955 of the family's 2925-position model. The record is from RNAcentral. Lineage: Bacteria; Bacillati; Bacillota; Bacilli; Caryophanales; Paenibacillaceae.
AACCGACACAGGUAGGCGAGAAGAGAAUUCUAAGGCGCGCGGAAGAACUCUCGUUAAGGAACUCGGCAAAAUGACCCCGUAACUUCGGGAGAAGGGGUGCCUCGGUAGGGUGAAUAGCCCGAGGGGGCCGCAGUGAAAAGGCCCAAGCGACUGUUUAGCAAAAACACAGGUCUGUGCGAAGCCGCAAGGCGAAGUAUACGGGCUGACGCCUGCCCGGUGCUGGAAGGUUAAGGGGAGUGGUAAGCCUUCGGGCGAAGCUAUGAACCGAAGCCCCAGUAAACGGCGGCCGUAACUAUAACGGUCCUAAG